Molecule: ribosomal RNA, 392 nt
Filed under: uncultured bacterium
Lineage: Bacteria
Description: bacterial SSU rRNA
Rfam family: Bacterial small subunit ribosomal RNA
Source: RNAcentral
GAAUUGCACCCGAUACUGGCCGACUGGAGUGCGAGAGAGGGAGGUAGAAUUCCACGUGUAGCGGUGAAAUGCGUAGAUAUGUGGAGGAAUACCGGUGGCGAAGGCGGCCUCCUGGCUCGACACUGACGCUGAGGUGCGAAAGCGUGGGUAGCAAACAGGAUUAGAUACCCUGGUAGUCCACGCCGUAAACGAUGUCUACUAGCCGUUGGGGAACUUGAUUCUUUGGUGGCGCAGUUAACGCGAUAAGUAGACCGCCUGGGGAGUACGGCCGCAAGGUUAAAACUCAAAUGAAUUGACGGGGGCCCGCACAAGCGGUGGAGCAUGUGGUUUAAUUCGAUGCAACGCGAAGAACCUUACCAGGUCUUGACAUCCUCGGAACUUGGCAGAGAUGC